GAUAAACGCUGGCGGCGUGCCUAAUACAUGCAAGUCGAGCGAACGGACGAGAAGCUUGCUUCUCUGAUGUUAGCGGCGGACGGGUGAGUAACACGUGGAUAACCUACCUAUAAGACUGGGAUAACUUCGGGAAACCGGAGCUAAUACCGGAUAAUAUUUUGAACCGCAUGGUUCAAAAGUGAAAGACGGUCUUGCUGUCACUUAUAGAUGGAUCCGCGCUGCAUUAGCUAGUUGGUAAGGUAACGGCUUACCAAGGCAACGAUGCAUAGCCGACCUGAGAGGGUGAUCGGCCACACUGGAACUGAGACACGGUCCAGACUCCUACGGGAGGCAGCAGUAGGGAAUCUUCCGCAAUGGGCGAAAGCCUGACGGAGCAACGCCGCGUGAGUGAUGAAGGUCUUCGGAUCGUAAAACUCUGUUAUUAGGGAAGAACAUAUGUGUAAGUAACUGUGCACAUCUUGACGGUACCUAAUCAGAAAGCCACGGCUAACUACGUGCCAGCAGCCGCGGUAAUACGUAGGUGGCAAGCGUUAUCCGGAAUUAUUGGGCGUAAAGCGCGCGUAGGCGGUUUUUUAAGUCUGAUGUGAAAGCCCACGGCUCAACCGUGGAGGGUCAUUGGAAACUGGAAAACUUGAGUGCAGAAGAGGAAAGUGGAAUUCCAUGUGUAGCGGUGAAAUGCGCAGAGAUGUGGAGGAACACCAGUGGCGAAGGCGACUUUCUGGUCUGUAACUGACGCUGAUGUGCGAAAGCGUGGGGAUCAAACAGGAUUAGAUACCCUGGUAGUCCACGCCGUAAACGAUGAGUGCUAAGUGUUAGGGGGUUUCCGCCCCUUAGUGCUGCAGCUAACGCAUUAAGCACUCCGCCUGGGGAGUACGACCGCAAGGUUGAAACUCAAAGGAAUUGACGGGGACCCGCACAAGCGGUGGAGCAUGUGGUUUAAUUCGAAGCAACGCGAAGAACCUUACCAAAUCUUGACAUCCUUUGACAACUCUAGAGAUAGAGUUUUCCCCUUCGGGGGACAGAGUGACAGGUGGUGCAUGGUUGUCGUCAGCUCGUGUCGUGAGAUGUUGGGUUAAGUCCCGCAACGAGCGCAACCCUUAAGCUUAGUUGCCAUCAUUAAGUUGGGCACUCUAAGUUGACUGCCGGUGACAAACCGGAGGAAGGUGGGGAUGACGUCAAAUCAUCAUGCCCCUUAUGAUUUGGGCUACACACGUGCUACAAUGGACAAUACAAAGGGCAGCGAAACCGCGAGGUCAAGCAAAUCCCAUAAAGUUGUUCUCAGUUCGGAUUGUAGUCUGCAACUCGACUACAUGAAGCUGGAAUCGCUAGUAAUCGUAGAUCAGCAUGCUACGGUGAAUACGUUCCCGGGUCU
Molecule: ribosomal RNA, 1372 nt
Filed under: uncultured bacterium
Lineage: Bacteria
Description: bacterial SSU rRNA
Rfam family: Bacterial small subunit ribosomal RNA
Source: RNAcentral